GUCGAACGGCAGCACGGGUGCUUGCACCUGGUGGCGAGUGGCGAACGGGUGAGUAAUACAUCGGAACGUGCCUUGUAGUGGGGGAUAGCUCGGCGAAAGCCGGAUUAAUACCGCAUACGCUCUGAGGAGGAAAGCGGGGGACCUUCGGGCCUCGUGCUACAAGAGCGGCCGAUGUCAGAUUAGCUAGUUGGUGAGGUAAAGGCUCACCAAGGCGACGAUCUGUAGCUGGUCUGAGAGGACGACCAGCCACACUGGGACUGAGACACGGCCCAGACUCCUACGGGAGGCAGCAGUGGGGAAUUUUGGACAAUGGGCGAAAGCCUGAUCCAGCAAUGCCGCGUGUGUGAAGAAGGCCUUCGGGUUGUAAAGCACUUUUGUUCGGGAAGAAAUCCUUUGGGCUAAUACCUCGGGGGGAUGACGGUACCGGAAGAAUAAGCACCGGCUAACUACGUGCCAGCAGCCGCGGUAAUACGUAGGGUGCGAGCGUUAAUCGGAAUUACUGGGCGUAAAGCGUGCGCAGGCGGUUUUGUAAGACGGAUGUGAAAUCCCCGGGCUUAACCUGGGAACUGCAUUCGUGACUGCAAGGCUAGAGUACGGCAGAGGGGGGUAGAAUUCCACGUGUAGCAGUGAAAUGCGUAGAGAUGUGGAGGAAUACCGAUGGCGAAGGCAGCCCCCUGGGCCAAUACUGACGCUCAUGCACGAAAGCGUGGG
RNAcentral lists this ribosomal RNA (711 nucleotides) under uncultured bacterium. RNAcentral describes it as "bacterial SSU rRNA". It matches the Rfam family "Bacterial small subunit ribosomal RNA", at positions 61 to 765 of the family's 1533-position model. The record is from RNAcentral.